CUUUACUCUUUGGAAAUUGGAACUCGUCAAAUUAGCGCCUGCAGCUGGAGGGUAAGAAAAGGAAGUAAAGAAAUAUCUUCCGGUUUGCUCUGCGUGGGUGGGAAAGUUGAGGAUUAGGGUUUUCAUCCGACGCCAACUGCAGAGUCAGAGACAGGAAGAAGCCAAGACAAGAUGAUUGAAGUUGUAUUGAACGAUCGUUUGGGUAAGAAAGUGAGGGUGAAGUGCAACGAGGAUGACACGAUCGGCGAUCUCAAGAAGCUCGUCGCUGCGCAGACGGGGACAAGAGCCGAGAAGAUACGGAUUCAGAAAUGGUACACCAUCUACAAGGAUCACAUCACCCUCAAGGACUACGAGAUCCACGACGGAAUGGGUCUCGAACUCUAUUAUAGCUAGGAUUUAUUUAAUGCACAAGGCUCAAGCUCUUGGUAUGAACCUGAUGUAAUGCUGUUAAACUGCAGUUAUACAGGAGAUGAUGCACUAGGUGAUGGAAAACAAGUGUAAGCACUGUUGAUAUCUAAUUGUCCCAUGUAUAAACUGAUACAAGUGGAUACUUGGUUCAAUAUGUAAGGACUAUUUUCCAUUUAUGGACUCCGAAUAUCUAUGCACGAUAUAAAGAUCUGGUUUAAGCUGUGACA
Nelumbo nucifera (sacred lotus) is the source of this 635-nucleotide RNA transcript. It is a transcript of the gene named ubiquitin-like protein 5, with no coding region annotated. The record is from RefSeq and is a predicted model, not a curated record. Lineage: Eukaryota; Viridiplantae; Streptophyta; Magnoliopsida; Proteales; Nelumbonaceae.